AUGAUUUUUCAAGGAAUUAGAAAUUUGCCUUACUUAACCGUAUGCCUGUCAAAGAUUCAGCUUGUAGGCUCAGAUGUGGCCUUUUUACACACAAACAUGCAUAGAUGACACCAGAUUGUGUUCCAUUUUAUUCAUUGCACUUUGUAACGCAUUCAAUCCCUAACUUAGACAUGCUAAAACCUUUAGAUUUGUGGACUGUGGGCUAAAUGCGUUACAAAGUGCAAACCACAAAGACCAUCCAUGUACUUUUGAAAAGCUAGUGAUCAAAUCCAAAAUUUUGGUAAACCACAGGGACCAUCCGUCUACUUUACUCUAAAUAAUAUGAAUAUCUCCGCACAGAAAGCCUAAUUUCUUAACGAAUAAAAUAUGGCAGACUAAUUUUCUUAAAUCCAGACGUGAAAAUACCUUUCAGGUUAAAAAGGAAUUGUAGAUAUAUGUUUAGUUCAACUGGUUAAGCAUAGAGUUUUUAGAGUAACACUGGUUAGAUACCUUUGCUUUUGUUUUCUAUCCUUUAUUUAAUUCCUUCUAAUUCUUCUAUUCAUAAUUUAAAGCCAGUUUCAUAAUUUCCUAGAAUAUGAAUAUGUUUUUUAACAUCAAAAAUUAACUUCUUUUAAUGUUAUUGCGUACAUGUUUUCUAUGUGAUAAAAUAAAUAAACUGCCAUAAAGAAGCAAGGGGAAGAAAAAAGCAGGAAAGUAUUCAUAAGGAAACUUACACGACUUUUGGGGAGGUACAUAAAUGAAGCAUUUGCCAGAAAGUGUAUUCAAUGUCCAUUUGUUGCCACUACAACGAACCAGGGUGAAACAAAAAACGUAAAAGGUGUUAAACAAAGAAAAAACAACAAACCAUUUUAGAUAAGCAUCAAAUGACUGCAACUCGUCUAAUACGUUUUACUACCAAGUUUCAUUGACAAAACAUUUAUAUACAUAUAAUAUGAAUUGAAGCAAGAUGAAAACUUCAUACCUAAAGCAAUCAUAAGAAUCUUAUCAUUGUAGGCUAACCACGGUCCAAUAAUAUGUUCAUACAGGAUCCUUAGUUCAACAUCCUACCCAAAGAUUGUUAUUACUUACGUAUGAAGCCAUUGUCGCAUGCAAAAACUUCACGUUUAAAUUAUAAAAAAAUAAAUUGCGAUCAUAGUUAUCGAUAGCGAAUAGCGACAACAUACCUAUAUGCUGCGUAGCGAUAGCGAUGAAAUAGCGCCCACUAUUUCGUUUUUAGCGAUAAGGUAGUUAAAAAUAUAAGAAAUAAAAAAUAGCUAUCUAUAUAAUAUUUUUAUAUAUAUAAUGUUAAUUUUAUACCUUUUUAUGUAUAAAGUCAUAGUUAUUAAAAGACAUCGCCUCUUGCACCUAGGCCCAUUUUCCAAGCCAGGCGAGGCAAUUGCGCUUUAAGUCAAGGCAAUUGCGCUUUAAUUCUCCAGGUGAUGAUUCAAACGCAAAUUUCGGCAAGAUUCCUAGAUUCCGGAGAGUUUCCGGCAAAAUCCUGUAAAUUCCGGCAAUAUUCCAGCCAGAAUACUACUUUAUUUUAGGAAAACUACUUUUCUACACUAAUAAAUACAUGAUAUUAAAUGUUAUAUAAUAGCUUUUGUUUAUUUUAUUUGAAGAAUAGUAUUACUUUUCAAAUACAUAAAAUAUGUUUAAUUUUUUUUCAUUGUGCGCUCUUUUUUUCUCAGGCCCUCGCUUUUUUUGCGCCUUGCGCCUAGGCCCCAGGCGAGGCCUAUGCGCCUUGAGUGCGCCUUGCGCCUUUAAUAACUAUGUAUAAAGUUAUAAGUUUUAAGGAUCAAAUGUAAGCUAGUGAAAAUAGGGGGGUUAAAUGUUAAAAUACACAAACUAAUUCUACACUUUUUAUGUAAAUUUUACAAGUUUUAGGGACUAAGUGUAACUUAAUGAAAGAUAGAGGGGUUAAAUGUUAAAAUCCAUAAACUUAUUUAACCCUAAAAAGGCUCAA
RNAcentral lists this long non-coding RNA (1942 nucleotides) under Helianthus annuus (common sunflower). Its description in RNAcentral is "hypothetical non coding rna". The record is from RNAcentral. Lineage: Eukaryota; Viridiplantae; Streptophyta; Magnoliopsida; Asterales; Asteraceae.